GAUGAACGCUAGCGGGAGGCCUAACACAUGCAAGCCGAGCGGGAUUUGUUGGUUAGUUUGCUAACUAACAAUGAGAGCGGCGUACGGGUGCGUAGCACGUGUGCAACCUGCCUUUAUCUGGGGGAUAGCCUUUCGAAAGGAAGAUUAAUACCCCAUAACAUAUUGAUUGGCAUCAGUUAAUAUUGAAAGCUCCGGCGGAUAGAGAUGGGCACGCGUAAGAUUAGCUAGUUGGUGAGGUAACGGCUCACCAAGGCUGCGAUCUUUAGGGGGCCUGAGAGGGUGAUCCCCCACACUGGUACUGAGACACGGACCAGACUCCUACGGGAGGCAGCAGUGAGGAAUAUUGGACAAUGGGUGAGAGCCUGAUCCAGCCAUCCCGCGUGAAGGACUAAGGACCUAUGGUUUGUAAACUUCUUUUAUACAGGGAUAAACCUACUCUCGUGAGGGUAGCUGAAGGUACUGUAUGAAUAAGCACCGGCUAACUCCGUG
This 489-nucleotide ribosomal RNA is filed under the name uncultured bacterium. Its description in RNAcentral is "partial 16S ribosomal RNA". It matches the Rfam family "Bacterial small subunit ribosomal RNA", at positions 28 to 507 of the family's 1533-position model. The record is from RNAcentral.